This 188-nucleotide non-coding RNA is filed under the name Brevibacillus borstelensis. Its description in RNAcentral is "Lysine sequence". It matches the Rfam family "Lysine riboswitch aptamer". Rfam says of the family: Riboswitches are metabolite binding domains within certain messenger RNAs that serve as precision sensors for their corresponding targets. The record is from RNAcentral. Lineage: Bacteria; Bacillati; Bacillota; Bacilli; Caryophanales; Paenibacillaceae. RNAcentral also lists the same sequence under 1 other name.
GAGUGAGGUAGAGGCGCGAAAACCAUGAGUACCACCCUGAGAUCGGGAUCGUUGACGGGUAGCGGAAAGGGGGAUUCGCCGAAGUACGGAGGGAAGACCCGCUUCCUUGCGUGCUGGGCCUGUGUUGAACAAAUACAGGACUGUCAUCUGAGCAAUACCCCAUUGCCGGAUGGAGAGCUAUCUCACGA